Molecule: long non-coding RNA, 715 nt
Organism: Neopelma chrysocephalum (saffron-crested tyrant-manakin)
Lineage: Eukaryota; Metazoa; Chordata; Aves; Passeriformes; Pipridae
Exons: 2
Source: RefSeq, a predicted model, not a curated record
GGAUGCGGGAUUUCCCUCCGGAGCUGGGAAUGGCUCUGAGGAGGCGUCUCCUGCCGCGAAGCACAAGUUGGGAACAACCCAACAUUUUAAGCACCAGAGUGCUCGUCUGAGUUAAAUUCCCAAGUGGAGGGAACAAUCUUCCAGCCUUCUGCUGGAAUUAAAACCAUCCCGAGCUCUGGAGACGAACAGGGUCAAGUCACACCUGCCCAAAGGGCUGGAAAAGCUCCUGGAAUUACAUUGUUGGAACCCUCCACCCUGCUCCGGGCAGCAGAGGCAUUCCCAGGGAAACACAUGGGCAUUUCUGGGAGCAGGCAGGACCUCUGUGUGGACAGGGAUGUGCUUCUGUCGGGAAAGGCCUGUGGGGGAAGUCCAGAGUCUCCCCCAAAAGCUGCCCAGGGAAGGAAACAGGACAUUUCCUACAGCUCCACUCACAGGCUGGGAACAGCCAGGCCUGGGAUACCUCGUGGAGCAGAAUUCCCAGUGUCCAGCUGCUGUUCUUUGCCUUCAAACACAAGUCAGGAUAAAUUUGCCGUCCUCAGGGUGGAAAAGGCGAUCCAAGGAGCCAGGAGGUUCUUUCCAGCCAGUGGUGGAAGAAAGGAGAGGAUUCCAUGGGAGAACACAUUCAGCCCCUCGCUCAGGAGAGCCAAAUCUGGGAUUCUCCCCCAUUUUCCAAAGCAGUUGGGUGCUGUUUAAUAAAAAAGGCUUGACUUUGGCA